UCAAAUUGAGUAGAAAAGGUAAGGGUCAAAAGUUCAAAGGGAAGUAUUUAAAUAGGUCCAAGAAACAGUGAAUCAGUACAAUAAGGAAAUAAUCAAUUACAAGAGUGCAAUCAGAAUUACACAAAGAGGUGAAAUCAGUCCAUAAUUAAGGGUUAUUUUGGGAGGGAGAUUUAGCAUAUAAAAGAGUGCAUAACAUUAGGCAUGCGAGGCUGAACUCAUGACAAAGAUAAUAAUCAUAUGACAGUCACAUAGAUCAAUUUCACUAACCUAGUAAUAGAAAAAGGGGAGAGUAUCACAAGCAUGCAAAAGGGCCAAGUAGAAAGCUUUUCUGAAAUCUGUAAUCCAGUUCUAAUGAUAGCAGGAAAUCUAAAUCACAUAAAGCACAUAAUUUGAAACAAAUAUUUCGAAACUCCCUCUAGAGAAAACAUAGAUCUACAACGGAUCUAAAAGAAUCAGAAGAACCUCGAAGGUUAGGGUUUCAGAAUAACACAGAUGGUGAGAAAGGCUUGGAAAGUCAUUGAUCUAAGCAGGAAAAGUCAAGAUCGGGAUUGAAUAGCCAUGGCUGGCCGAAGCAAGGUCGAAGAUAAUCGAAGACAACAUAGUACUGAAGUAGACCAAGGUUUGGUAUUGAAAGUAUGAUAAUCGGGCAGGUAGGAGCCAUAGGAGGUAGAUACAGGCCUUUAAUGAUUUGGAAUCCAUGGAUUCAGGCGAUUUUAGGGUGGAAGUGGAGGGAGGCGACUAGCGUUUCUAAGAGAAAAUUGGGAGAGGGGGAAUCCAAAGGUGUCUACAGGUGAUAAG
Molecule: long non-coding RNA, 798 nt
Filed under: Nicotiana benthamiana
Lineage: Eukaryota; Viridiplantae; Streptophyta; Magnoliopsida; Solanales; Solanaceae
Description: long non-coding RNA (NBEN_LNC032595)
Source: RNAcentral